RNAcentral lists this transfer RNA (74 nucleotides) under Sphaerobolus stellatus SS14. Its description in RNAcentral is "tRNA-Ile (AAT) (tRNA-Ile-AAT-37-1)". It matches the Rfam family "tRNA". From Rfam's summary of the family: Transfer RNA (tRNA) molecules are approximately 80 nucleotides in length. Their secondary structure includes four short double-helical elements and three loops (D, anti-codon, and T loops). The record is from Rfam by way of RNAcentral. Lineage: Eukaryota; Fungi; Basidiomycota; Agaricomycetes; Geastrales; Sphaerobolaceae.
GGUCCCUCUGCUCAGUUGGUUAGAACGUGGUGCUAAUAAUGCCAAGGUCAUAGGUUCGACACCUGUAUGGACCA